UACGUAGGGUGCGAGCGUUGUCCGGAAUUAUUGGGCGUAAAGAGCUCGUAGGCGGUGUGUCGCGUCGGUCGUGAAAACCACGGGCUUAACUCGUGGCCUGCAGUUGAGACUGUCUGGCUUGAGUGUGGGAGAGGAGAGUGGAAUUCCUGGUGUAGCGGUGAAAUGCGUAGAUAUCAGGAGGAACACCGGUGGCGAAGGCGGCUCUCUGGACCACAACUGACGCUGAGGCGCGAAAGCUAGGGGAGCAAACAGG
This 253-nucleotide ribosomal RNA is filed under the name uncultured bacterium. RNAcentral describes it as "partial 16S ribosomal RNA". It matches the Rfam family "Bacterial small subunit ribosomal RNA", at positions 524 to 776 of the family's 1533-position model. The record is from RNAcentral.